Molecule: long non-coding RNA, 1667 nt
Organism: Zingiber officinale
Lineage: Eukaryota; Viridiplantae; Streptophyta; Magnoliopsida; Zingiberales; Zingiberaceae
Exons: 4
Source: RefSeq, a predicted model, not a curated record
GAAGUGGGUCCCCCAUUCUUACCGCCGGAUCAAUAUGGAUCCACAAGUUGUUCCCCAGAUUAUUAUCAUGGAUGUUUAGUUAUCUGACCAAUUCGCUACUUCAUUGUCUUGAAUCUCUGGGAUUCUGUUUAGUCCCAGAAUUGAUUUAGUUGGCUUGGUCUAGAAGGGAGGUUCGGUCUAAUUUAGGGCGUCGUGAUAGUAGGCCUAACCUGAUAGGCCAACCACUAUGAUUAAGACAAGUCGACCAAGUGAAUCCAAUACAAUUGGGUUAGACUGACCACGAUGGUUCGAUAAAAGUUAGACUUAAUUAAUUGACAGAUCAACACAACAAAUCAAGUCUAAUGGAUCAACCCACGGUUGUCAAGACAAAACUUGGCCUUGACUGUUAUUGAAUAGGCUAAUCGAGUUGUAGCCUGAGUUGGAUACAAGGACAAUUUGUUUAUUUUUGUUUUGUUUUAUUUUAUUUGUGAGUUUGUUUGUUUCCUCAACAUUGUCGGCCAAAAAAGUACAAUAAAUCUAAUGGUUGGGCAAUUAAUCGCCAAUGCCUUGGAAGGGGAGCCCGAGAGGGGACAGUGCUCCAGCUCCAAAGCCAAUUGGCGUUUCAAGUUGCACCAAGAAAGGCGCACCGUCACUUCUUUUCCUACCGUUGCUAUUUUCUACACACUGCUCUGCGGGCCAAAUCAAAUGGCUCCUUGUGCUUGGACUCUGUCGCUGGUUCGUGAGCCGUAGGACCGGGGCACGGACACCUCUCGCCUGCCACUGUGCGCAUGUGAGUCGGUGGGAACGAGCGCACAGCAGGCAGUGAUACGGCAAGGUGUCAGACAUGGCACACAACUGACUCAUCGCAUACAAUUCCACCUCUGCCAAACAUUUAAUUAAGAGAGAGAAGCGACUGCUUCUGUGUCUACCGGAUACUUUAGAUCACUGGCACAGGAGAAGGACGCAGAGAUAGUAAAAAGAGGCGCAGAGGUAGAUCAAAGGAUAGAGGAGCUCUGUGUUCGUCUCCGGCGAGGCUACUUCUCUCCUGCCGUUGGCUAACCUUGCGGCCCUCACUUUUGAGGAAGGUUACACGCAGUUCUUCAGACUCCAAUCUCUCUCUCGAUCAGAGAAAAGGUGCUGGAUUUGCGUCGCAAGACCUCUAUUUGCAUGGGUUCUUCAGCGCCUCCAUCAAGCUUCCCUCCGACUACGCGAGUUGUUGUCGCCUUCUAUAGGGGGGCACAGCACCAGCCCGACCCAGAUGCUCAGCAGGAGGAGACAGAGCAGGAUGAGUUUUUUCUCGCACUAUUUCCUGACGAGGCUGCUCCUGCCCCAGCACCAGCUCGAGCCCCACGUCCCGCUCCUCGCACUCUAGCCGAUCGAGUAUCCGGACUAGAGAGAGCUAUGUCGAGCCUCCAGCAGGAGUCUUCCGAGUUUCACCGAGACUUACGACGAGAGGUGCGACAGGAGGUCUCCGAUCUACGACGAGAUGUGCGGCAGGAGAUCUCCUACCUGCGACGAGACCUACGAGAGGAUGAUCGGACCCGACAUACUGAGCUGUUGGCAUUACUUCGUUCUCUGGGUUCCGGACCACCUCCUUCAUCAUCUCAGUAGUUAUGUUUGUUAUAUAACUCUGUUAUGAGACUAUUACAGAUCUUGUAGUACAUCUUGAUUAUUGAUUAUUGAUUAUC